GAUGAACGCUGGCGGCGUGCCUAAUACAUGCGAGUCGAGCGAACAGACGAGGAGCUUGCUCCUCUGACGUUAGCGGCGGACGGGUGAGUAACACGUGGAUAACCUACCUAUAAGACUGGGAUAACUUCGGGAAACCGGAGCUAAUACCGGAUAAUAUAUUGAACCGCAUGGUUCAAUAGUGAAAGACGGUUUUGCUGUCACUUAUAGAUGGAUCCGCGCCGCAUUAGCUAGUUGGUAAGGUAACGGCUUACCAAGGCAACGAUUCGUAGCCGACCUGAGAGGGUGAUCGGCCACACUGGAACUGAGACACGGUCCAGACUCCUACGGGAGGCAGCAGUAGGGAAUCUUCCGCAAUGGGCGAAAGCCUGACGGAGCAACGCCGCGUGAGUGAUGAAGGUCUUCGGAUCGUAAAACUCUGUUAUUAGGGAAGAACAAAUGUGUAAGUAACUAUGCACGUCUUGACGGUACCUAAUCAGAAAGCCACGGCUAACGACGUG
RNAcentral lists this ribosomal RNA (497 nucleotides) under uncultured bacterium. RNAcentral describes it as "partial 16S ribosomal RNA". It matches the Rfam family "Bacterial small subunit ribosomal RNA", at positions 28 to 507 of the family's 1533-position model. The record is from RNAcentral.